ACACUGUGACAUGGGGACACUGUGACAUGGGGACACUGUGACAUGGGGACACCAUGGGAUGGGGACACUGGGGGAUGGGGACACCGUGGGAUGGGGACACUGUGACAUGGGGACACUGGGGGAUGGGGACACUGGGGGAUGGGGACACUGUGACAUGGGGACACUGUGACAUGGGGACACCGUGGGAUGGGGACACUGUGACAUGGGGACACCAGGGGAUGGGGACGCUGUGACAUGGGGACACUGUGACAUGGGGACACCACGGGAUGGGGACACUGUGACACAGGGACACCGCAGGAUGGGGACACUGACAUGGGGACGCUGUGACAUGGGGACACUGGGGGAUGGGGACACUAUGACAUGGGGACACUGUGACAUGGGGACACCGCGGGAUGGGGACGCUGUGACAUGGGGACACCAGGGGAUGGGGACGCUGUGACAUGGGGACACUGUGACAUGGGGACACCAGGGGAUGGGGACAGUGUGACAUGGGGACAGUGUGACAUGGGGACAUGGGGACACUAUGACAUGGGGACACCAGGGGUUGGGGACACUAUGACAUGGGGACACUGUGACAUGGGGACACUGCAGCCACUGUCACCGUCACAGCACGGGGCGCCCUGUCCCCAAUGUGUCCCCAAGGCUCCCUGUCACCUGGGGGUCCUUCGUCACCCAGGUGUCCCCUGUCACCCAGGUGUCCCCUGUCACCCAAAUGUCCCCAUCACCCAGGUGUCCUUUGCCACCCGGGUGUCCAUUGUCACCCAGGUGUCCCCUGUCACCCAAAUGUCCUUUGUCACCCGGCUGUCCCCUGUCACCCAAGUCUCCUUUGUCACCUCGAUGUCCCCAUCACCCAAGGCGUCCUUUGUCACCCAGAUGUCCCCAUCACUUGGGUGCCCUUUGUCACCCGGGUGUCCCCAUCACCCAGAUGUUCCCUGCCACCCAAAUGUCCCCAUCAGGUGUCAUCACCUGUGUGUCCCGUCACCCAGAUGUCCCCAGUCACAUGGGUGUCCUUUGGCACCCAGGUGUCCCCUGCCACCCAAGUCUCUUUUGUCACCUGGAUGUCCUUUGUCACCCAGGUGUCCCCAUCACUCAGGUGUCCUUUGUCCCUUAGGUGUCCCCCAUCACCCAGACGAGCCCUUGUCACCCAGAUGUCCCCAUCACUCAGGUGUCCUUUGUCACCCAGGUGUCCCCUGCCACCCAGAUGUCCCCAUCACUCAGGUGUCCUUUGUCACCCAAGUGUCCUUUGUCACCAGGAUCUCCACGUCACCCAAGUGUCCUUUGUCACCAGGAUCUCCACGUCACCCAAGUGUCCUUUGUCACCCAGGUGUCCCCUGUCACCCAGGUGACGUCCUCGGUCACCCAGAUGCCCUUUGCCACUUGGGUGUCCUU
This 1389-nucleotide long non-coding RNA is filed under the name Numida meleagris (helmeted guineafowl). RNAcentral's name for it is "lncRNA (ENSNMEG00000002362.1)". The record is from RNAcentral. Lineage: Eukaryota; Metazoa; Chordata; Aves; Galliformes; Numididae.